GGAGGGGUGGCCGAGUGGUUGAAGGCACCGUCUUGAACCGGCAGGCGGGCGACCGUCUCGUGGGUUCGAAUCCCACCCCCUCCGCCA
RNAcentral lists this transfer RNA (87 nucleotides) under Methyloceanibacter stevinii. Its description in RNAcentral is "tRNA-OTHER". It matches the Rfam family "tRNA". Rfam says of the family: Transfer RNA (tRNA) molecules are approximately 80 nucleotides in length. Their secondary structure includes four short double-helical elements and three loops (D, anti-codon, and T loops). The record is from RNAcentral. Lineage: Bacteria; Pseudomonadati; Pseudomonadota; Alphaproteobacteria; Hyphomicrobiales; Hyphomicrobiaceae.